UGGGGAAUUUUGGACAAUGGGCGCAAGCCUGAUCCAGCAAUGCCGCGUGCAGGAUGAAGGCCUUCGGGUUGUAAACUGCUUUUGUACGGAACGAAAAGCUUCUGGUUAAUACCUGGGAGUCAUGACGGUACCGUAAGAAUAAGCACCGGCUAACUACGUGCCAGCAGCCGCGGUAAUACGUAGGGUGCGAGCGUUAAUCGGAAUUACUGGGCGUAAAGCGUGCGCAGGCGGUUAUGUAAGGCAGAGGUGAAAUCCCCGGGCUCAACCUGGGAACUGCCUUUGUGACUGCAUGGCUAGGGUGCGGCAGAGGGGGAUGGAAUUCCGCGUGUAGCAGUGAAAUGCGUAGAUAUGCGGAGGAACACCGAUGGCGAAGGCAAUCCCCUGGGCCUGCACUGACGCUCAUGCACGAAAGCGUGGGGAGCAAACA
RNAcentral lists this ribosomal RNA (427 nucleotides) under uncultured bacterium. RNAcentral's name for it is "bacterial SSU rRNA". It matches the Rfam family "Bacterial small subunit ribosomal RNA", at positions 355 to 774 of the family's 1533-position model. The record is from RNAcentral.